RNAcentral lists this ribosomal RNA (473 nucleotides) under uncultured bacterium. RNAcentral describes it as "bacterial SSU rRNA". It matches the Rfam family "Bacterial small subunit ribosomal RNA", at positions 355 to 825 of the family's 1533-position model. The record is from RNAcentral.
UGGGGAAUUUUUCGCAAUGGGCGCAAGCCUGACGAAGCAACGCCGCGUGGAGGAUGAAGGUCUUCGGAUUGUAAACUCCUGUCGACCGGGACGAAUGCACUCGACCUAAUACGUCGGAAUGUUGACGGUACCGGUGGAGGAAGCCACGGCUAACUCUGUGCCAGCAGCCGCGGUAAUACAGAGGUGGCAAGCGUUGUUCGGAAUUACUGGGCGUAAAGGGCGCGUAGGCGGCCCCAUAAGUCUCGUGUGAAAGCCCUCGGCUUAACUGAGGAUCUGCACGGGAUACUGUGGGGCUCGAGUUCGGGAGAGGAAUGUGGAAUUCCAGGUGUAGCGGUGAAAUGCGUAGAUAUCUGGAGGAACACCGGUGGCGAAGGCGGCAUCCUGGACCGGUAUUGACGCUGAGUGAGCGAAAGCCAGGGGAGCAAACGGGAUUAGAUACCCGAGUAGUCCCUGAGCGGGCUGGCAAGGCGCAU